AAUCAAUCAUCAGUGGGGCACUCUACUUAUUGAGUGCAGGAAGCAGCGACUUCCUUCAGAACUACUAUGUCAAUCCUUGGGUAAACAAAAUGUAUACACCUGAUCAGUAUGGUUCAUUCCUCGUCGGUGCAUUUACCAGCUUUGUCAAGGUAUCUGCUAACUACCACCUUUUUUUUUCCGCUAGUUCUAUAUUAAAACUGCCCAAAGUGAAUAAAAAAUUACUCAUUUUCUACUUUAUCCGAAAAAAUUAAUUCAAACUAUUUAAUAAUUUCAUACUAAAAUAUUAUAUAUAGCUUUUAAUCUUAAUAUUUCACCGAUUCGGUGAUGUAAUUUACGUCACAAUUCUUAAUUAAUGAGUGAAAAGAUAUUUGCACGAGUCAAAAAGAUAUUUGUGUUAAUUCGGCGGGCUGUUACAAGUUAUCUGCAGAAGCAAAGUGAAAUUUAAUUUGAGAAAUUUCUGUUUUGCAAACAGGAUUUAUAUGGUUUGGGGGCCAGAAGACUUGGGGUAACUUCACUCCCACCAUUGGGUUGCCUACCAGCAGCUCGCACCUUAUUUGGAUAUCAUGAGCGUGGGUGUGUCUCCAGGAUUAACACUGAUGCCCAGCAAUUUAACAAGAAGAU
This 621-nucleotide long non-coding RNA is filed under the name Manihot esculenta (cassava). RNAcentral describes it as "long non-coding RNA (MESC_LNC006363)". Lineage: Eukaryota; Viridiplantae; Streptophyta; Magnoliopsida; Malpighiales; Euphorbiaceae. The record is from RNAcentral.